Bombus impatiens (common eastern bumble bee) is the source of this 1094-nucleotide long non-coding RNA. RefSeq lists it as uncharacterized. Lineage: Eukaryota; Metazoa; Arthropoda; Insecta; Hymenoptera; Apidae. The record is from RefSeq and is a predicted model, not a curated record. The transcript is spliced from 3 exons.
GAGCAGCGCGAGGGACCAUCCUCCUCUCUAUCUUCGGACAACCACUUGGCUUGGGUCAGAAGCGAUAUGCUGUUGCUCGCCUUGAUAUACACGCUCUAUGAAGAAUUCUCUAAGACAGUCAGUUUAUUGGUUUCUGCAAAAGGGUGUUUUGUUUAGACACUUAGAGAUGGAGCUGACGGAAUGCUGCAGUUAGAGAGAACAUGAGCAAGGUAAUGAAUUAUACUCACACGGUUCUUGCGACUUAUUGCCAUUUAAUUCUCUUGAUGCGCACAGUCCCAACUUCUUCGCUAGACAAACGUUGCUCUCGUUAUCGAAACGAGGGCGAGGAUGCCAUGUACGUAGAUAUAUGUACGUAGGUGAGAAGACAGGUUAGAAUACUUGAAAUUUGAAGAGCCGAUAACUCGCUGCAACAGAGAGAGUGAUUUGAAUAGCGCGUUGCUUAUGAUAUGAACGUAGCGUAGCUUGAAAAUAUGCGGACGAUUUCUUUUCAAGAAAAAAAAAAGAGGUCUUUCGUGGAUCUUCUUUGUUUACAUUUUCUAAUAUCUGCUAAAAAGAAAUAAAAGGGUGGGUUACCAACGGCGCACGGAAUUCCUAAGGGGGCGGUCACCCAUCUUAGUAACUAUUCGUGCCGCGCGCUGCUUAACUCUGGCGAUCGGAUGAAAACCAGCAUUUUCAGCGCGCUUUCGUCGUUGGCGCAGGUUAAGUGUUUUUCUAGAAAAACGAAGAACACAGUUUGAUAAAACUUAAGAAUUAUUUCGUUUCUCUCAAUGACAACAUAAAGGAUAGAAAGAUACGAAAGCAUAGUACUUGUAAAGAUCUGAUAUAGCACUUCCCAUUUCCAUAAAUACAGGCCUUGUAGGACAAAGAUAAGGAAAAAAAGUAGAAAUGUUCGGGAGACCAUCUAUCUUCAAUGGGAAAAAGUUGAUAAUUAUUUGCUUUGAGCUUCUAUGUUCUAUCGACGCUAACGUUUUAUGUCUACUAAUAAUAAAGGGAAACACCGUGGAACAUCGAAAAUUACCAGUUAACAAGAGCAAUAAGGAAAUUAAUUGUACGACGUAACAAGCAUGAAUAUCUUUUUAAAUCAAUACUUUGAU